AUUGAACGCUGGCGGCAGGCUUAACACAUGCAAGUCGAGCGGGGUGAUGGUGCUUGCACUAUCACUUAGCGGCGGACGGGUGAGUAAUGCUUAGGAAUCUGCCUAUUAGUGGGAGGCAACAUCUCGAAAGGGAUGCUAAUACCGCAUACGUCCUACGGGAGAAAGCAGGGGAUCACUUGUGACCUUGCGCUAAUAGAUGAGCCUACGUCGGAUUAGCUAGUUGGUGGGGUAAAGGCCUACCAAGGGGACGAUCUGUAGCGGGUCUGGGAGGAUGAUCCGCCACACUGGGACUGAGACACGGCCCAGACUCCUACGGGAGGCAGCAGUGGGGAAUAUUGGACAAUGGGGGGAACCCUGAUCCAGCCAUACCGCGUGUGUGAAGAAGGCCUUAUGGUUGUAAAGCACUUUAAGCGAGGAGGAGGCUCUUUUGGUUAAUACCCAAGAUGAGUGGACGUUACUCGCAGAAUAAGCACCGGCUAACUCUGUGCCAGCCGCCGCCGUAA
RNAcentral lists this ribosomal RNA (503 nucleotides) under uncultured bacterium. Its description in RNAcentral is "partial 16S ribosomal RNA". It matches the Rfam family "Bacterial small subunit ribosomal RNA", at positions 30 to 523 of the family's 1533-position model. The record is from RNAcentral.